GCAGUAGCCACGGGAAUACGAAGGGGGCUAGCGUUGUUCGGAAUUACUGGGCGUAAAGCGCACGUAGGCGGAUAUUUAAGUCAGGGGUGAAAUCCCGCAGCUCAACUGCGGAACUGCCUUUGAUACUGGGUAUCUUGAGUAUGGAAGAGGUUAGUGGAAUUGCGAGUGUAGAGGUGAAAUUCGUAGAUAUUCGCAGGAACACCAGUGGCGAAGGCGGCUAACUGGUCCAUAACUGACGCUGAGGUGCGAAAGCGUGGGGAGCAGACAGGAUUAGAUACCCCAGUAGUCCCUGUCUCUUAUAC
This 302-nucleotide ribosomal RNA is filed under the name uncultured bacterium. Its description in RNAcentral is "partial 16S ribosomal RNA". It matches the Rfam family "Bacterial small subunit ribosomal RNA", at positions 508 to 807 of the family's 1533-position model. The record is from RNAcentral.